Molecule: non-coding RNA, 248 nt
Organism: Podarcis lilfordi (Lilford's wall lizard)
Lineage: Eukaryota; Metazoa; Chordata; Lepidosauria; Squamata; Lacertidae
Source: the annotation of a GenBank genome assembly
GGUAGGGUCUUAGCUCAGUGGUAGAGCAUCUGCCCUGCAUGCAGGUUCAGUCCUCAGUGGCAUCUCCAAGUAGGGCUGAUAGUCCUUUGUCUGAAAGCCCAGAGCUGCUGCUAGUCAGUGCUGACAGUUCUGAGCUAGACAAACUAAUAGUUUGACUCUGUACAAGCCGAGGCAGCAUCCUAAGAUGCCAUUUAUUCCUACCAUUGCAUGCAGAAGGUCCCAGGUUCAAUCUCAAUGGUUCCCCAUCU